Molecule: ribosomal RNA, 274 nt
Filed under: uncultured bacterium
Lineage: Bacteria
Description: partial 16S ribosomal RNA
Rfam family: Bacterial small subunit ribosomal RNA
Source: RNAcentral
AUACGGAGGGGGCUAGCGUUGUUCGGAAUCACUGGGCAUAAAGGGCACGUAGGCGGCCGUGCAAGUCGGGUGUGAAAGCCCAUGGCUCAACUCGGGAACUGCAUUCGAUACUGCCUGGCUAGAGUUUGGUAGAGGGUGACGGAAUUCCAGGUGUAGCGGUGAAAUGCGUAGAUAUCUGGAGGAACAUCAGUGGCGAAGGCGGUUGCCUGGACCAAAACUGACGCUGAGGUGCGAAAGCGUGGGGAGCAAACAGGAUUAGAAACCCCGGUAGUCC